GAAAUUCCAGUUCCUUCCUCUACAUAUCCAUCAUCAAAAAGUGGUCUAGCGAGCAGUAGAGCGGAAGGUCCUCAUCAGGCGACAGGAGAAAAAAUGAUUCGAACGUGGCACAAAGACGGAACUGAAGAAGGUCGUCUCCAAGAUUUAUCGAACGGCGAUUUGGAGAAGAGAGAUUCACCGUCUCCAGUCACUGUCUUCUCUGGAUCUGAACAAGGUGACGGACAUGAUUCGGGAGGGUGUCACUUUCAUACGAUGUGGAACUGGUGGACCUUAUUAUUAGUUCCUCUUUUCAUCUUCAAGCUUUAGCGUACCAAAAAAUAAAGAAGUUAAUGGGGAUGUCUCUCUAGUCAUUGCCACGUUCGAUGGCUCAAAAUACUCUACAAACAUGAUUCCUGAUACUUGUGUCUGAUAUGUACAGUAUUAAAGAAAUGUUAACUUGGUGUACACAAUGUGCCAAAGAGAAUUUAUUAUAUAAGUGAGCUCACCAGAAAGAACAAAAGGGAUUCCGAUGUUCUGAAUUAACCCGCUGAUAAUAUGCAUUGCCUCCGCUGCUAUCCAAGUAUCUCAAAUGAGAGGCAAACCACGAAAAUAAUUUUAAUUAUUAGUGAUGCGAGAACGGUACA
Molecule: non-coding RNA, 623 nt
Organism: Parasteatoda tepidariorum (common house spider)
Lineage: Eukaryota; Metazoa; Arthropoda; Arachnida; Araneae; Theridiidae
Source: RefSeq, a predicted model, not a curated record